CGCGUAGGCGGCCUGCUAAGUCGAACGUGAAAUCCCUGGGCUCAACCCAGGAACUGCGUCCGAUACUGGAAGGCUUGAAUCCGGGAGAGGGAUGCGGAAUUCCAGGUGUAGCGGUGAAAUGCGUAGAUAUCUGGAGGAACACCGGUGGCGAAGGCGGCAUCCUGGACCGGCAUUGACGCUGAGGCGCGAAAGCUAGGGGAGCAAACG
Molecule: ribosomal RNA, 207 nt
Filed under: uncultured bacterium
Lineage: Bacteria
Description: partial 16S ribosomal RNA
Rfam family: Bacterial small subunit ribosomal RNA
Source: RNAcentral